UACGGAAGGCAGCAGGGAGGAAUAUUGCACAAUGGGCGCAAGCCUGAUGCAGCCAUGCCGCGUGUAUGAAGAAGGCCUUCGGGUUGUAAAGUACUUUCAGUCGUGAGGAAGGUGUUAAGGUUAAUAACCUUAGCAAUUGACGUUAGCGACAGAAGAAGCACCGGCUAACUCCGUGCCAGCAGCCGCGGUAAUACGGAGGGUGCGAGCGUUAAUCGGAAUUACUGGGCGUAAAGGGCACGCAGGCGGUUAAUUAAGUUGGAUGUGAAAUCCCCGGGCUUAACCUGGGAAUGGCAUUCAAGACUGGUUAGCUAGAGUCUUGUAGAGGGGGUAGAAUUCCAUGUGUAGCGGUGAAAUGCGUAGAGAUGUGGAGGAAUACCGGUGGCGAAGGCGGCCCCUGGGACAAAGACUGACGCUCAUGUGCGAAAGCGUGGGGAGCGAAACAGGGAUUAGAUACC
This 455-nucleotide ribosomal RNA is filed under the name uncultured bacterium. Its description in RNAcentral is "bacterial SSU rRNA". It matches the Rfam family "Bacterial small subunit ribosomal RNA", at positions 340 to 786 of the family's 1533-position model. The record is from RNAcentral.